AGGUGGAGCCUGCGGUUUAAUCGGACUCAACGCCGGGAAACUCACCAGAUAAGACAGCUGAAUGAUAGUCGGGCUGAAGACUCACUUGACUAGCUGAGAGGAGGUGCAUGGCCGUCGUCAGUUCGUACUGUGAAGCAUCCUGUUAAGUCAGGCAACGAGCGAGACCCACGCCAACAGUUGCCAGCUCGUCCUCCGGGAGUGGUGGGGACACUGUUGGGACCGCCUCUGCUAAAGAGGAGGAAGGAAUGGGCAACGGUAGGUCAGCAUGCCCCGAAUUAUCCGGGCUACACGCGGGCUACAAUGGGUGGGACAAUGGGUAUCGACACCGAAAGGUGAAGGCAAUCUCCUAAACCCAUCCGUAGUUCGGAUUGUGGGCUGCAACUCGCCCACAUGAAGCUGGAAUCUGUAGUAAUCGUGUCUCAAAAUGGCACGGUGAAUAUGUCCCUGCUCCUU
Molecule: ribosomal RNA, 453 nt
Filed under: uncultured Methanomicrobiales archaeon
Lineage: Archaea; Methanobacteriati; Methanobacteriota; Methanomicrobia; Methanomicrobiales
Description: bacterial SSU rRNA
Rfam family: Archaeal small subunit ribosomal RNA
Source: RNAcentral